UCACACUCUAGAAUAAUUAAAAAAAAGUAAAGAAAUUAAAUAAAUAAAAAAUGAAUAGAACUGCAGAAAAAAUGGCUGUCCACCAUUGUGGUUUUUGCCAAUUUUUGAUGUUUUACUGUCAAAGAAUGUAAUAAGUCAUAUACUUUUAACCGUAUAAUAGAUUUGGUAACGUUGCUAGAACACAGUAAUGCUAAAAGUUAUUUUUAUUUUUCUUUGAAACUCAUGAAUAUUGAAUUGUUAAUUUUAAGCUGCAUAACUGUUUAUAAUUGUCAUUCUCGCGUGUGGUUGAACCGGUAAAUAAAUAAUUUAAAAUAUGAAAUUUGACCAAAGUGUUUAUUACUUGAUAUGGCAUGCAUUAGAUAUAGGGCUGAUACAUAUUUCUAAUUUUUUUUUUUUUUUACCCUACCCCUGAGGUUUGUCUUCCUUUGGAAAAUCAGAAUCCGAUGAUUUCACAAAUGCUUCAGAUACUGGUGCACAAUGAGAUCAUUCCCAUAAUCAUAAUCAGAAUCAGAAAGAGCUUUAUUGCCAAGUAUGCCUGCGCAUACAAGGAAUUUGUUUUAGUGACAUAAGCUUCCAGUACACAGAGACAACAACAACACAUAAAUAAAUAGACAAAUAUUGCAAAUAAAUCGAAAAAUACAUAAAUUAUAUGAACAGUUGUGCUAUAGAUGAUAAUGGAAUAGAAUAGAGUGAGAUGCAGGGAUGUACUAGGAUGGAGGUGGUAACAAUAAAUAUAAGGAUAUUGCACAUUUUUUAUUGCAUGAGUGGGUAACAUUUAACUGUUCAUGAGGUAGAUUGUCUGGGGGAAGAAACUGUUCUUGUGCCUGGCUGUCCUGGUAUUUGCGGCUCUGAAGUGCCGGCCAGAUGGCAAAAGUUCAAAAAGGGGAUAACUUGGAUGUGAGGGAUCCAGAGUGAUUUUCUGAGCUCUUUUCCUCACUCUGGAUGUAUACAGUUCUUGAAGGGUGGGCGGGGGAGCACCAGUAAUCUUUUCAGCAGUCCAAACCAUUCUCUGUAGUCUUCUGAUUUUGUAGCUGAACCAAACCAGACAGUUACUGAAGUGCACAGGACAGACUCAAUGAUGGCUGAGUAGAACUUUUUCAGCAGCUCCUGUGGCAGGUUAAACUUCCUCAGCUGGCAAAGGAAGUACAACCUUUGUUGGGCCUUUUUAACAGUGGAGUCAAUGUGAGUGUCCCACUUCAGGUCCUGAGAGAUGGUGGUUCCCAGGAAUCUGAAUGACUCCACUGCAGCCACAGUUCCAUCUAUGAUGGUGAGACACCUGACACCACAUGAUGUUGAGUUGGCCAACAGGUCCAGAUAUUUAGCAUGCUAGAUAUUUGUUUGGCAUCUGCGAGGCAACAGCGAGCCACUUUGAUGCAUUGCUGAGUGGUUCACACAUAAAGAUUGGCAAGCGCUGAUCACCUGCCGAUUUCCCCCCGAUCCCAGCCUGACCUGUCAGCAAGCUUGUUAACUUGCAAAUCGGGCUUAAAUCAGGCUUAAAGUCCUGUAGUGUGAACUGGGCAUUAGGAAACUUUAUUAAUCCUCAUAAGGGGAAACUCAUUUAGCCACCAUUGUACAUUAAAGGCAACACAAUAAAUAACUGAGCAAUAAACACAACAACAAAAUCAAUUCAUAUAAAUCUAUAUACAAGUUACACAACUUCAUAAAAAAGGACUUCUAAAUCGUUCUGUAGAACGAUUACUAAUCUAAUCAAAC
Cyprinus carpio carpio is the source of this 1713-nucleotide long non-coding RNA. NCBI's taxonomy places the organism in Eukaryota, Metazoa, Chordata, Actinopteri, Cypriniformes, Cyprinidae. The record is from Ensembl.